RNAcentral lists this long non-coding RNA (2501 nucleotides) under Homo sapiens (human). Its description in RNAcentral is "GALNT7 divergent transcript (GALNT7-DT)". Lineage: Eukaryota; Metazoa; Chordata; Mammalia; Primates; Hominidae. The record is from RNAcentral.
AGGGGGACCGGCGGUCCGGGCGAGGCCUCGGCCGCGCAUCGCACCCCGGCUCCCCGCCGCCGGAGUUGAGGGGGAGGCGCGCUCUCCGUAAGAGCCGGAGGCGGGGCGCCAUCGCCCUCCCACUCCCCGGCGGGCGGGCCGGGGGAGCCCGGGGCUGCGAACACCCCCAGACGGGCGGCUGCGGGAGGGGAGGCUGGACCAAGGGGCCUGGUCCACCGGACCAGCGGUGGCGGCAUCGGCAUCUCGCCUCCUUCAGGCCUGCACGCGCCACAGGCCGCAGCCUGGACCAACCCCGCGUCCCCGGGCCGUGAGCGCUGCGGUCCCGGCCCCCCAGAGCGGGACGCCGGGCGGCCGCAGCCCCCCGGACCCGGCUCUCCGCCCGCUCCGCCCGCAGUCCCGGCGCGGAGAGCGGCCGCCCGAGCCGCUGCCGCGGCAGCGCGGGUGUCGGCGACGGAGCCCGGGGCGGGGAAGAGCGGAGGAAGGGGCGGCGAGGGGGCGGGCCGGCGGCGGCCAGGGAGGUCGGAGUGCGCGGGGCUCGGCACCCCCUCGGCCCGCGCUGCGCCAGCACCACCUGCGGAGCUGCGGUGCCCACGCCGUGCCGCGACCCCGCCGCCCCUGCUCCCUCCACACGCGGGCAAACAAAACAAGUUGCCGGUCGCUGCCGCCGGAGGGGGCCGGGCGGGUCACUCACCCUCAUCCUGCUCAGCGGGCUUGGGUCGUCCGGCCGCGGGGUCAGGGAAGACCAGAGGACCACUAGCCCCAGGAAGCUUCCCACCACCAGCAAACUGCGUGGUGAAUUUGUAACCGAAAGGCCCAGGUGAGAUGUGCAAAUAUCACUGGAUUGGAGGAGCUCACUUGGAAAGCCAGUAUUCCUCCUGAGCUAAUGAAAAGAAAGGCUGUCGUCUUAUGCCAAAAGCAAUACCAACCUUGUUCACGGGCUGAGAUCUAGAGUGUGUAAUUCACGAAGUAUGAAUCUGCUGGGUAAUGUGAUAUGAAAAGCGAAUGCACCAUUUCUUGGUGAUGAUUCAGGUCAGCGUUGGGACCCAGGAAUCUCCUGUUAAUCAGUACCCUGGUGAUUUUGAUCCAGGUCAUCAAGACCAUGGCUUCCAUCGUAGGCAGUCACACUCUUUCUCUCUUGGAUCAUUUGCUGUGGGGAAGCAAACUGUCAUAUGAGAGGACACUCAAACAGCCUCUGGAGUCUCAUUUGCUAAGGAACUGAGGACUCCAGCCUGAGAACUCAGGCAAGUAACUGAGGCCUGCCAACAACCAUGGAGAAAGCCUGGAAGUGGAUCCUCCCUCAGCCUUCAGUCGAGACAACAGCUGCAAUGACAGCCAAGCCAGCGCCACCCAGCUUAGCCACCCCCAGAGAACUAACUCUCAGAAACCAUGUAAGAUAAUACAUGUUUGUUGUUUUAAGCUGCUAAGUUUUGGGGUAAUUUAUUAUACAAUAGAUAAUUAAAACACAUAGCAUAUAAAUAAAAUCAAUAAAACCAGUAUGGGUCAGUAAUGAGUAAAUUAGAUAAUUAGACAAAUUUUGACAUUUCUGUUUCUAUGUUAAUUAUUUUUCUUCAGAAAAAUUCUCUACGGGUAAAAUAUGUUAAGAGUGGUUACCAACGGACAUUUUAAAAUUAAUAAUCAGUUUGGGAGGCCAAGGCGGUUGGAUUGCUUUAACUCAGGAGUUUGAGGCCAACCUGGGCAACAUGACAAAACCCUGUCUCUACAAAAAAUACAAAAAUUAGCCAGGCAUGGUCGUGUGUGCCUGUAGUCCCAGCUACUUGGGAAGCUGAGGUGGGAGGAUCAAUUGAGCCUGGGAGGCCAGGCUGCAGUGAGUCAAAAUCAUACCAUCUCAAUCCAGCCUGAGCAACAGAGUGAGACCCUAUCUAAAAUAUAUACAUGUAUAUUAACAAUUAUCUCUUGAAACUAAAGUAUAAUCACAGUACUAGUGUACUAUUUUCCAUUUUAUUAAAUGCACUAAACAGUAUUGCAAUGUGUUUGUGUUUAUUAAAAAAUAUUUUGGAAAUCUUUGGGAGAAAAGCUACUUCAAAUUAGUCUGAAAACUAUCAUUUCCUUCUAGCAAUGUGUAAUAAUGUAAUGACUGCUUAGAAUUUCCUGAGAGGGACUGUAACAUAUAUUUUAAGCAUAAUAUUGUAAACAAACAAGUUCUUUUGCAGUACUUGAAGAUCUUUUUUUGUGACUAUCCCCCUUAUAUAUUAUGAAGAUACAUUUUUUGUGACUAUCCUCUUUAUAUGUAUUGUGAAGAUAAGGUUUUUUAUAGUGAAUAUCCUCCUAAUGCUACUAGUAUUGUUUGCAAUCUGUCAUUAUUCUUAGUGUAAAAUUAAACUUCAACAGAGUACCUGUGUGAAAAAAAAAAAAAAAAAAAAAAAAAAAAAAAAAAAAAAAAAAAAAAAAAAAAAAAAAAAAAAAAAAAAAAAAAAAAAAAAAAAAAAAAAAAAAAAAAAAAAAAAAAAAAAAAAAAAAAAAAAAAAAAAAAAAAAAAAAAA